CAGUCGCCGCGGUAAUACGAAGGGUGCAAGCGUUAAUCGGAAUUACUGGGCGUAAAGCGUGCGUAGGCGGUGAGUUAAGUCUGCUGUGAAAUCCCCGGGCUCAACCUGGGAAUGGCAGUGGAUACUGGCUCGCUAGAGUGUGUCAGAGGAUGGUGGAAUUCCCGGUGUAGCGGUGAAAUGCGUAGAGAUCGGGAGGAACAUCAGUGGCGAAGGCGGCCAUCUGGGACAACACUGACGCUGAGGCACGGAAGCGUGGGGAGCAAACAGGAUUAGAUACCCCCGUAGUCCCUGUCUCUUAUAU
RNAcentral lists this ribosomal RNA (301 nucleotides) under uncultured bacterium. RNAcentral describes it as "partial 16S ribosomal RNA". It matches the Rfam family "Bacterial small subunit ribosomal RNA", at positions 509 to 809 of the family's 1533-position model. The record is from RNAcentral.